UACAGGGGGUGCAAACGUUGCUCGGAAUUAUUGGGCGUAAAGCGCACGUAGGCGGUUCGUUAUGUCAGAUGUGAAAGCCCUUGGCUCAACUGAGGAAGUGCAUCUGAAACUGGCGAGCUAGAGUAUGUAAGAGGGUCGCGGAAUUCCCGGUGUAGAGGUGAAAUUCGUAGAUAUUCGCAAGAACACCAGUGGCGAAGGCGGCUCACUGGCCCGGUACUGACGCUGAGGUGCGAAAGCGUGGGGAGCAAACAGG
Molecule: ribosomal RNA, 253 nt
Filed under: uncultured bacterium
Lineage: Bacteria
Description: partial 16S ribosomal RNA
Rfam family: Bacterial small subunit ribosomal RNA
Source: RNAcentral